AUGGCUUCUUCAAUCAUCGCUAGCAAUGCGGUCCAAGGUGAGGUUUUCCUCCCCGGGCAGAUUUUUGUAUUCGGCGGCUUCGCACUGUGGGCCAAUUCGCUUGGCCAUCUGGAGAAGAUCAAGAGCUACGCCCCUGUCCAUCAGGUCAGAUUCGAAAACUUAAACUACACGACUGACAUCCGCGGAGACUUGAUCUUCGAUGGAUUCGAGCCCAUGUCGGACGCACCGCAUAGUCGCGGCGAGCAUGACGUUACUCUGCCGUCGGACAAUGUUCGGGAGAUCGCAUCUGCAACUACUCCGACUAUCAAUCCGGAGCAAAUUGCGCCAUCCAAGAGCAGAGGGAUAGACCCCGCCAUGGAGGCUGCACUCUCAGUGGCGAUAGAGCCGGAUACUGACUUUACCCCUUACGAGAGUCGCAUCGCCGAACCACUGGAUUCUUCUCCGGCCACGGGCUCCGAGCCACCUGCAUCCGCACCCAUCGAAUCCGAUUGGGCGUCGAUCAUGGAGUUCACCUCCGCGGAUAUCUUUCAUCACCCACCUUUCGGCGAUGUGCUAAAUUCAUUAAGGUCUCUCUCCCUGUCAGGAGAACUUUGGCUGAACUAUGUCCGGCUAGAAUGGGAUGCGGACGAUGAAGAAAUCCACUGCCCACCCACCACCCACUUAGUAGCCACUGUCGACGACUUAACUGACAUGCUCGACUUCGACUUCGAAGACAUCGACGGUAUGGACGACGAUGCAGGAAACGAACAGGAACCACCGCCCACAGGGCGCCGGACCACCACUUCAUCACAUGACAUAUACCUGGUGGAUACACCCACAGAGGGCAAUGGCGAAGAGACAGCGGAGGAUGCCCCAUCCAAAGCAACCCAAGCGCCGACGUCAGCGGCGCCGCUCUAA
RNAcentral lists this ribosomal RNA (897 nucleotides) under Triticum aestivum (bread wheat). RNAcentral's name for it is "partial small subunit ribosomal RNA". The record is from RNAcentral. Lineage: Eukaryota; Viridiplantae; Streptophyta; Magnoliopsida; Poales; Poaceae.